AUGACAAAGUUGAAUUUUUGCAAUCUUAAGACCCAUCGGAUGAGGCGGCUGUUGGUUUUAGUGGAUCCCAUGACCCAUUGCAGAGCGGAAUGGUCUGUGACAACCGUGAAAAGCUUGUAUUCCAGUUCUUUUCUCUGCGAGAGAAUGGCUCCCAGUCCAGUAUCACUGGCAUCUGUGUAAACAAUGAACGGGACUUGCAGAUCAGGGUGGCCGAGAAUGGGGGGCGAGGGAAUUGAGGGGC
This is a long non-coding RNA of Carassius auratus (goldfish), 241 nucleotides long. RefSeq lists it as uncharacterized. The record is from RefSeq and is a predicted model, not a curated record. The transcript is spliced from 3 exons. Lineage: Eukaryota; Metazoa; Chordata; Actinopteri; Cypriniformes; Cyprinidae.